Molecule: small nuclear RNA, 107 nt
Filed under: Aotus nancymaae (Ma's night monkey)
Lineage: Eukaryota; Metazoa; Chordata; Mammalia; Primates; Aotidae
Source: RNAcentral
AUGCUGACUUCAGCAGCACAUAUACUAAAGUUGGAACGAUACAGAAAAGAUUAACAUGGCCCCUGAGCAAGAAUGACACACACAUUUGUGAAGCGUUCCAUAUUUUU